Boleophthalmus pectinirostris (great blue-spotted mudskipper) is the source of this 342-nucleotide long non-coding RNA. RefSeq lists it as uncharacterized. NCBI's taxonomy places the organism in Eukaryota, Metazoa, Chordata, Actinopteri, Gobiiformes, Gobiidae. The transcript has 3 exons. The record is from RefSeq and is a predicted model, not a curated record.
CAAAACAUGACAGACACCUUCAGGAACUCGGAGUCCCAGUCCCACCUUAGACCUGGUUUAGUCCCGGUUUAGUCCCGGUUUAGUCCCGGUUUAGUCCGGGGAUGGUCUGGUGAGCGAGAGAUGAGAGGAUACAGAGGAGUGAAGUACACACUGUUCGUCUGCUGCUACGUUUUCUGGGUGGUGAGUUCUCUUCUGAUCGCUGUGGGGAUUUACGCCAAAGUUGCUAAAGAAAAAGAUGUGGUGGACACGUUGACCCUUGACCCCGCCCUGCUGCUCAUCGUCGUGGGGACGGUGACGUUCCUCAUCACGUUCAUCGGCUGCUGGGGAGCGCUCCGCAACGCC